Non-coding RNA from Bemisia tabaci, 814 nucleotides. The record is from RefSeq and is a predicted model, not a curated record. NCBI's taxonomy places the organism in Eukaryota, Metazoa, Arthropoda, Insecta, Hemiptera, Aleyrodidae.
GCUAUAAGAAGGGCCACGGCAACCUUUUCAAUAGAACAGCGUUUUCAAUGACCUUGAACGAUCUCAGUUAACCAUGUCAUUGUUGUUAGUUAUGAAUCUCAGUUAACCAUCCUCGGCGCAGCUCGUAUUCUCUCGGCUCAGCUAGCUCAGCUCGGAUAGCACUCAAGGUACCACUGUUAGUUCACCUCCGGCCGGUGCUAUUCGGCAGAGCGCGCUAGUGUCGUAGUCUUUGGACCUGUCUCCCAGCAAGGCGAGCUGUAACCUUUGACCCUGCACCUGUUUACACUAUUGCCGCUGUCGGCCAUUAUUGCCAGAAUCACGAUAAGUUCGGAAUUUGUUAAGUUAAUAAAUGUGCGUUUAGCUUAUGUUUGGUUGUUGUAUGGCGAUUGUAAUAAUUCUCCAGUGUCAUCCCAAAUUCGGAGCAUCUUUUCUGCGUAGCCAACGAUGUUAACUGCAAAGCAACGAAGGGCCUGCGCCAAGUGUGGACAUAGCAGCAGUAAAUCAACCCGGUCUUUCCAUCGAAUUCCUAAACCAGGAGGAGCCAAUACGGAAAAAUGCCUGGGAGUCUGAAUCUGAUCUACUGGCCCUGUACAAGAAGUCGAGAGUUGUUUGAAAUUGUAAAAUUUGAAAACUGUAAAAAAUUGUAAAACUGUAAACAAUUGUAAAAUAUGUAUAUUUAAUUUAUGAAACAUUAAAUGCGUACCUCACUCGUAAAGUAAUUUGUAACAAUGAACUGACAAUACUAUGUUCAGCUCUUAUGUAUUUCUUUCUUUUGCAAAAUAUCUUUUUAUAUAAAUUUUACAUGCACUCUAAA